Long non-coding RNA from Dermochelys coriacea (leatherback sea turtle), 1604 nucleotides. RefSeq lists it as uncharacterized. The transcript has 3 exons. The record is from RefSeq and is a predicted model, not a curated record. Lineage: Eukaryota; Metazoa; Chordata; Testudines; Dermochelyidae.
UAAGAUUUACCUCUUUGGGGCCUGAUUUUAAAAGUUGUUCUGAGUGCUCUCAAGUCCCGUUAACUUCAGUGUGACUUGAGGGGAAUGUACAUAUUGAUUACUUCUCUAAAUAGAGAAAAGCAGUGGGAGUGUCCUCAAAACACAAACACCCACACUGAAAUGCUUUCCUGUCCCUGUCUGUAUUUAACAUUCUGUGAUGUGGUGUGACACAUAAUGAUAUAGAGUGGCUGAUUACUGUAGAAUAGGUAUGCAGAUGAAUGAUAUGAGGGCCUUUGGGAAAUCUAUUCCAUUCUAACAUGGUACCUUGUCACAAUAUAAUUCACUCACAUUAGAUUGUCUCACACAACCGUGCAGAAUGUUAAAACAUUGGGGAAGUGGGGGGGAAGCAUCACAUGUUUACAGCACCAGUUUGGAGUCUUCUGAUAGGUGUUGUGAUGUUGAGCUAGCUCUAGGGAGAUGCCAGGAAAGGCGCUGAGCUCACGCUGGAUAACAAGGAUCCCAGAGAAGAUACUGACAGAGAUGAGGUCAGAGUGCUGGAAAUAUCUUAUAAACCUGGCAUAGAGGCCUGCCUGUGGCAUUUGUUCAAUGUCUAUUUUGAAGCACGUUAGCAGGUUAACGUGUCUGUGAGCUGCCGUUUUGCCUAGUUUGAUUCUCAGUAAGUAGGAUGUACGAGUAGUGCGUCAUCACUAAUACAUUUUACUAUCUUCUCCAGGGAACUCAGGAGUAUGACAAUGCCAGUUGCUGUGCCCACAUUUCAGACAAAGGGGAAAAAAAAGAAGGCAACCACAAACAGAAAGGAGAAAGCUUGUGUCAGAGUGUAGCAGCGUGGUCACCCGCUCCGGCCGUGAAGGGGUUAAAACAGCCCUGGGAAAGGGCUGCCCCGGGGAUCCAAUAGGCUAGGCUGAUUGGGGAGGCAGCCACAGCUGGGGCCAUGCCCCAAUCAGGCCACAGGUGGCCCUAUAAAGGGCUAUGAGCCAGGUGCUUAAAAAGACUCUCCCUCUAGCUUCAGAGGGAGAAGGACCUAGCUGUCUGGGAGCUGAGGGUGCAGGAAACCGAGCAGGGCUGGGGAAAGCAGGAGGUGCUGUGCUGGUGAGUCAUAGCAUUGCUACACAGAGGUUACAGAAAGCUUCCAGAUGGACAGUGGGAGGAAGAUGCAAGGGAAUAAGGUGAAACUCACCAGAGGAAGAGCAUCUCAGCAAGAACUGUUUUUUAUCUGAAGUAUAAGAAAGGCAGUGUGAUCCAGCAGACAGGGCAAUGGACUGGACCUCUCUUUUAUUCCCAGCAUUCAUUCAUGGUGAGAACUUGAGUAGAUCACUUAACCCUAAAUGUUCAAAUCUAGGGGCCUAAAAUUGGGCAUUUAUAUUUGGGCACCUAAAUAAGGUUAUUUUUCAGAAGUGCUGAGUAUCUGUGGCUCCCAUGGGCUUCUUUUCUGUCACAAUUGAAAUCAAUCUGAGAAUUGUUCAAUGGGAUUAAAGUGAAAGCUCCUUUUUUGUUGUUUUGUUGGUUUUACAUUUCCUAUAAACAGUCUAGUAGAAUGUUUUAGGUCAUUAUCCCCUUGAAAAUGGCAACUAUGGUCAACUGCCUGCUUUCCAGAAGGGGACCCU